This 489-nucleotide ribosomal RNA is filed under the name uncultured bacterium. RNAcentral describes it as "bacterial SSU rRNA". It matches the Rfam family "Bacterial small subunit ribosomal RNA", at positions 341 to 847 of the family's 1533-position model. The record is from RNAcentral.
ACGGGAGGCAGCAGUGGGGAAUAUUGCACAAUGGGGGAAACCCUGAUGCAGCGACGCCGCGUGAGCGAAGAAGUAUUUCGGUAUGUAAAGCUCUAUCAGCAGGGAAGAAAAUGACGGUACCUGACUAAGAAGCCCCGGCUAACUACGUGCCAGCAGCCGCGGUAAUACGUAGGGGGCAAGCGUUAUCCGGAUUUACUGGGUGUAAAGGGAGCGUAGACGGAGCAGCAAGUCUGAUGUGAAAACCCGGGGCUCAACCCCGGGACUGCAUUGGAAACUGUUGAUCUGGAGUGCCGGAGAGGUAAGCGGAAUUCCUAGUGUAGCGGUGAAAUGCGUAGAUAUUAGGAGGAACACCAGUGGCGAAGGCGGCUUACUGGACGGUAACUGACGUUGAGGCUCGAAAGCGUGGGGAGCAAACAGGAUUAGAUACCCUGGUAGUCCACGCCGUAAACGAUGACUACUAGGUGUCGGGUGGCAAAGCCAUUCGGUGCC